This 247-nucleotide long non-coding RNA is filed under the name Salvia miltiorrhiza (redroot sage). Its description in RNAcentral is "long non-coding RNA (SMIL_LNC010766)". The record is from RNAcentral. Lineage: Eukaryota; Viridiplantae; Streptophyta; Magnoliopsida; Lamiales; Lamiaceae.
CAAACACAAAGAAUCACUAGACAUAAUACUCAAGAGAAUCCUAAUUAGAUAGAAUUUGCGAAAAAAAAUUCCCAACUAAGUUCAAAAUAUUUUACAACGCAAAAUGAUAGAAUAAAAAAUAUGGAAUUCAUCUCUCAAUUAGUCUUCCACAACUAACUCAACAUCGACGAGCACCACUGCCGCCGCCUGAGGGAUGAGCGCCGCCGCAGUGAGGGGAAAGGGUCGUCGCGGUGAGGAGAAUCGGUNN